GAUGAAGAACGUAGCGAAAUGCGAUACGUAAUGUGAAUUGCAGAAUUCAGCGAAUCAUCGAGUCUUUGAACGCACAUUGCGCCCCCUGGUAUUCCGGGGGGCAUGCCUGUCCGAGCGUCAUUGCUGCCCUCAAGCACGGCUUGUGUGUUGGGCCUCCGUCCUCCUCCCGGGGGACGGGCCCGAAAGGCAGCGGCGGCACCGCGUCCGGUCCUCGAGCGUAUGGGGCUUCGUCACCCGCUCUUGUAGGCCCGGUCGGCGCUUGCCGACACAUCAAUCUUUUUUCCAGGUUGACCUCGGAUCAGGUAGGGAUACCCGCUGAACUUAAGCAUAUCAAUAAGCGGAGGA
This 345-nucleotide unclassified non-coding RNA is filed under the name soil metagenome. RNAcentral's name for it is "partial contains 5.8S ribosomal RNA, internal transcribed spacer 2, and large subunit ribosomal RNA". The stretch from base 1 to 120 matches the Rfam family "5.8S ribosomal RNA", at positions 35 to 154 of the family's 154-position model. The record is from RNAcentral.